UACGGGGGGAGCAAGCGUUGUUCAGAUUUACUGGGCGUAAAGGGCGCGUAGGCGGUCGUGACAAGUCACUUGUGAAAUCUCCGGGCUUAACUCGGAACGGUCAACUGAUACUGUGCGACUAGAGUGCGGAAGGGGCAACUGGAAUUCUUGGUGUAGCGGUGAAAUGCGUAGAUAUCAAGAGGAACACCUGCGGCGAAGGCGGGUUGCUGGGCCGACACUGACGCUGAUGCGCGAAAGCCAGGGGAGCGAACGGG
This 254-nucleotide ribosomal RNA is filed under the name uncultured bacterium. Its description in RNAcentral is "partial 16S ribosomal RNA". It matches the Rfam family "Bacterial small subunit ribosomal RNA", at positions 524 to 776 of the family's 1533-position model. The record is from RNAcentral.